CAGUGGGGAAUAUUGCGCAAUGGGGGGAACCCUGACGCAGCAACGCCGCGUGAGUGAAGAAGGUCUUCGGAUCGUAAAACUCUGUCAUAGGGGAAGAAGGAGAUGACGGUACCCUAUGAGAAAGCCCCGGCUAACUACGUGCCAGCAGCCGCGGUAAUACGUAGGGGGCGAGCGUUGUCCGGAAUUACUGGGCGUAAAGGGUGCGUAGGCGGCCCUUUAAGUCGGAUGUGAAAGCCCGCGGCUCAACUGCGGGAUUGCAUUUGAAACUGGUUUGCUAGAGUGCAGGAGAGGUAAGUGGAAUUCCUAGUGUAGCGGUGAAAUGCGUAGAUAUUAGGAGGAACACCAGUGGCGAAGGCGGCUUACUGGACUGUAACUGACACUGAGGCUCGAAAGCGUGGGGAGCAAACA
This 408-nucleotide ribosomal RNA is filed under the name uncultured bacterium. RNAcentral describes it as "bacterial SSU rRNA". It matches the Rfam family "Bacterial small subunit ribosomal RNA", at positions 352 to 774 of the family's 1533-position model. The record is from RNAcentral.